This 395-nucleotide ribosomal RNA is filed under the name uncultured bacterium. RNAcentral's name for it is "bacterial SSU rRNA". It matches the Rfam family "Bacterial small subunit ribosomal RNA", at positions 30 to 418 of the family's 1533-position model. The record is from RNAcentral.
AUUGAACGCUGGCGGCAGGCCUAACACAUGCAAGUCGAACGGUAACAGGAAACAGCUUGCUGUUUCGCUGACGAGUGGCGGACGGGUGAGUAAUGUCUGGGAAACUGCCUGAUGGAGGGGGAUAACUACUGGAAACGGUAGCUAAUACCGCAUAACGUCGCAAGACCAAAGAGGGGGGACCCUCGGGCCUCUUGCCAUCGGAUGUGCCCAGAUGGGAUUAGCUUGUUGGUGGGGUAACGGCUCACCAAGGCGACGAUCCCUAGCUGGUCUGAGAGGAUGACCAGCCACACUGGAACUGAGACACGGUCCAGACUCCUACGGGAGGCAGCAGUGGGGAAUAUUGCACAAUGGGCGCAAGCCUGAUGCAGCCAUGCCGCGUGUAUGAAGAAGGCCUC